GUGAAUCAUCAAAUUUUUGAACGCAAAUUGCACUCUCUUCGGAGAGUAUGCCUGUUUGAGGGUCAGCCUAAAAAAAAUCGACAUUGCUGCUGUUAUUUAAUGGUGACUUUCGUCGGAGAUUGGGUUAUCUUAAACCUUUUUUUUUUUUUGUUUUAAUCGACUUAAAAUUUUUCUUCACGAUUCCAUUAACUUUUCUAAGUUUUUUUUUUUUUUUCCGUUUAAGUUUUAUCGAUCUUUUUUUAGUCUUGACCUUCGCAUCGGUUCUCUUCC
RNAcentral lists this unclassified non-coding RNA (270 nucleotides) under Glomus sp. RNAcentral's name for it is "partial contains 5.8S ribosomal RNA and internal transcribed spacer 2". The stretch from base 1 to 65 matches the Rfam family "5.8S ribosomal RNA", at positions 84 to 154 of the family's 154-position model. The record is from RNAcentral. Lineage: Eukaryota; Fungi; Glomeromycota; Glomeromycetes; Glomerales; Glomeraceae.